This 503-nucleotide ribosomal RNA is filed under the name uncultured bacterium. RNAcentral describes it as "bacterial SSU rRNA". It matches the Rfam family "Bacterial small subunit ribosomal RNA", at positions 29 to 523 of the family's 1533-position model. The record is from RNAcentral.
AGUGAACGCUGGCGGCAGGCCUAAUACAUGCAAGUCGAACGGCAGCACAGCAGAGCUUGCUCUGUGGGUGGCGAGUGGCGGACGGGUGAGGAAUACGUGGGAAUCUGCCCAGUCGUGGGGGAUAACGUAGGGAAACUUACGCUAAUACCGCAUGCGCCCUUCGGGGAAAGCCGGGGACCUUCGGGCCUGGCGCGAUUGGAUGAGCCCACGUCGGAUUAGCUAGUUGGCGGGGUAAAGGCCCACCAAGGCGACGAUCCGUAGCUGGUCUGAGAGGAUGAUCAGCCACACUGGAACUGAGACACGGUCCAGACUCCUACGGGAGGCAGCAGUAGGGAAUAUUGGACAAUGGGCGCAAGCCUGAUCCAGCCAUGCCGCGUGAGUGAAGAAGGCCCUCGGGUUGUAAAGCUCUUUGUCCGGAAAGAAAGCGCCGGGUUAAUACCCUGGUGUCCUGACGGUACCGGAAGAAUAAGCACCGGCUAACUUCGUGCCAGCAGCCGCGGUAA